This 2155-nucleotide long non-coding RNA is filed under the name Callithrix jacchus (white-tufted-ear marmoset). Its description in RNAcentral is "lncRNA (ENSCJAG00000071253.1)". Lineage: Eukaryota; Metazoa; Chordata; Mammalia; Primates; Cebidae. The record is from RNAcentral.
GCCACUAUUAGUGAGUAUUAUGACUGUUGUAUUAGUCUGUUCUCAUGCUGCUAAUAAAGACAUACCCCAGACUGAAUAAUUUAUCAAGAAAAACAGAUUUAAUGGAGUCACAGUUCCAAGUGGCUAUAGAGGCCUCACAAUCAUGCUGGAAGGCAAAGGAAGAGCAAAGUCAUGUCUUACAUAGUGGGAGGCAAGAGAGCUUGUGUAGGAGAACUCCCCUUUAUAAAAUCAUCAGAUCUUGUGAAUUUUUUCCAAUAGGUUUCUUUUUCAUUCAUUUUCAUCCAUUUUUUUCAGCUUCUCUAACAAUAAUAAUCACCAUUAGCUGAGGCAGACACUUUGUUAUGCAGAAAUUCCUUUUAUUUUUCAAAUAGUUCUGGCAGAUAGAUACUAUUAUAGUAAUUCUUUCGUGGAUUAGGCAUAAAGAGUUUAAGUUAUUUACAUAAGAUCAUACAGCCAGGAAGUGUAAACAGAACAUCCUGCAUUGCAGUGGUAUAAGCAUUACCAGUUAAUUGCCUAACAUCAUAGUUCUCUCCAUAACAGAUAUCAGAAUUAUAAUGAUUUUCCUGCUCCUGUCCCUCAAAUAGCUCUCAUAAUGUAAUUUCCCUCAGGAUUUUUUUCAAUACUUCCUACUUACUAACACAAAAAUAUUCAUCACUACUUAUAGGCUAAAGAGGUAAGACAUUUUCAUUUACAUAAGAGCCUCUUGAAAAUAAUUACUUAGCCUAAAUGAAUGACUCUAGUGGAAGAUAUUCAGGUGGGCCCUUGAAAAAAUGAUAUUGUGUACAUGAAAAUCUUUGGAAAAAUAUAUUAGGAGGACAUCAUCUUCAGUUUUAUACUGGAAAUAUACAAAAUCCGCUCCCCAUUUAACCAAAAUAUUAAAAGAAAAGAAUUGCCUUUUUGGAUAUUUGGGAUCAAAUAAAAAUGGGGUUGGGGGAGGGAGAGCAUUAGGAAAAAUUGUUAAAGUAUGCUGGGCUUAAUACCUAGGUAAUGAGUUGAUAGGUGCAAGCAAACAACCAUGGCACAGAUUUACCAUGUAACAAACCAGCACAUCCUGCACAUGUACCCCAGAACUUAAAUAAAAUAAAAAUUAAAAAUAAUUCAGAUUCAAAAGGUUACUUUAUGAGUCAUAGGCUAUUUUUUGGGACAGGGUCUCACUUUGUUGCCCAGGCUGGAGUGCAAUGGCACAAUUACGGCUCACUGCAGGCUUGACUUCUGUCCCAGGCUUAAGUAAUCCUUCUUUCUACAUCAGCCUUCUGAGUAGCUAGGACCACAGGCAUGUACCACCACAACUGCCUAUUUUUAAAAUUGCUUUAUAAAAAUGGAAUCUCCCCAUGUUGCCCAGGCUGUCAUAGACUAUUCUUUUUUAUUUAUUUAACUUUUAUUUUAGGUUCAUGGGUCUAUGUGCAGGUUUGUUAACCUAGAUAAAUUUCAUGUCAAAAUAGGGAUUUGGUGUACAGAUUAUCUUGUCACUCAGGUAAUAAACAUAGUACCUGAUGAGUAGUUUUUCACCCUCUUCCCAUCCUCCAACCUCAAGUACACUCUGGUGUUUGUUGUUUCCUUUUUCAUGCCCGUGGUGUAGUUUUUAUGUCCUUUUGGUGUAGCUCCCACAUGUAAGUGAGAACAAGUGGUAUUUGGUUUUCUGUUCCUGUGCUAGUUUGCUUAGGAUAGUGACCUCCUACUUCAUCCAUGUUUCUACAAAGGACAUGAUCUCAUUCAAUUUUACGACUGCAUAAUAUUUCAUUGUAUAUAUGUACCACAUUUGCUUUAUUCAGUCUACCAUUAAUGGGCAUUUAGGUUGAUUACUUGUCUUUGCUAUUGUAAAUAGUGCUGUGAUGAACAUACAUGUGCAUAUAUCUUUAUAGGAGAAUGAUUUAUAUUCCAUUGGUAUAUGCCCGAUAAUAGGCUUUUUGGGGGCAAUUAUAGUUCUAUUUUAAGUUUUUUGAGAAAUUCCCUAACUGCUUUACACAAUGAUUUUAUAAUCACUACCAGCAGUAUAUAAAUUUCCGUUCUCCAUAACCUUGUCAGUUUCUCUAGUGAGGUAGGGAAGAUUUUCAUGAACGAUAUUCUGAACUAUGUUUUCCAAGUUGCUUGUUUUAUAUCUCCAUUUUUUUCGGCCACCAAUGACAUAUAAAUUUUAUUUUUUACAUAAUCUUGU